Long non-coding RNA from Eriocheir sinensis (Chinese mitten crab), 1504 nucleotides. RefSeq lists it as uncharacterized. NCBI's taxonomy places the organism in Eukaryota, Metazoa, Arthropoda, Malacostraca, Decapoda, Varunidae. The record is from RefSeq and is a predicted model, not a curated record. The transcript has 4 exons.
CCAUUAACAGUGCAUAGGCCUAGGUGUGUGUUUGUGUGUGUGUGUGUGUUCACCUCGGCAUUAUUCGCGACCUUCAAGUACAGGAAACUUUUCGACUUCACCGUUUUGUGGUCGAGUGUCGCGUAAACACUGUUGUGAGUGUCUCUGCCUAAUCGUGCGUGUGAGUGUGUGCGUAACUCGAGGCCGAGGCAAAAAAUAUGGCGGCGGCUCCUCGGCCCCCACCCUCCUACAACCGCCCUUCCACCCCCUCAGACAUCACCACCACCUCCACCACCACCGCAGUGUUCGUGACUUUGGGGCGUGGAUAGUGCCAUGGUAGGACAAGGUUGUUGCAGGGCCAUGCACAGCUGGCGGGGGACGAGAGUUCAACCCACUGCCGCGCCCCACCUCCCCGCCAUGGUCGCCAAGGGGGAAUCUCGCUUGCUGAUGUGCGGGGCUCUGAGCUGCGUGGCGGUAGCUGGAACAGAAUGGAGAAGAAAAAAACGAAAGAAAAGGAGAGGAGGAAGGAGACAAGAAAGAAGGGAAAGAAGAAGACAGAAAGCAUGAAGAUGAAAUGUGAAAGAAGAAAGAGGAGAGAGGAGAAGUUGGAAGAGGCUGAGACAAGAAAGGGAAGAGAACAUGAACAGAAAGAAGAAGAGGAGGAGGAAAAGGAGGACAGGAGGAAAAAAAUAAGAUAGAGCACAAGAAGAUGAGAGGCUAAAGAAGAAAGUGAGACAAGUUGGAAGACAGAAACAAGAAAGGGAAGAGAACAUGAAAAGAAAGAAGAAGAAGAGGUUAAGGAAAAGGAGGACAGGAGGAAAAAAAAUAAGAUAGAGCACAGGAAGAUGAGAGGCGAAAGAAGAAAGUGAGACAAGAAAAGGAAGAGAACAUGAAAAGAAAGAAGAAGAGGAGGAAAAGGAGGACAGGAGGAAAAAAAUAAGAUAACGCACAGGAUGAUGAGAGGUGAAAGAAGAAGGCGGGGAGGAAAAGUUGCGCUGUGACGAGAACUUCCAUUAAUCACGCCGCGGGUUUCAUCACACCGACGCGACGCCCAGGGAAGGUAAGUGUUGCCUGGUGUUGCUGGCUACGUUGUUCUCCUUUUUUCCCUAUACCACACGGGGGCCAUUUCUGCAGCUCAACACAACGGGUUCGAAAGCUUCUAAUCCAAACAUAAAACACUUUACGAAAGGUCCUUGAAUAAUGUUAGGUGUUCAUAAAGAGAAGUAAGAAGGGCAUACAGGAUAUCUCUUUAGUAUUGGGUAUUGGAGAGUAUACUUCGGGUGGAACGGGCCGCAUCAUUUUAGAGGUGCGGCAUAUUUCCUACAGCCCCUACACUAUACGCAUUUCUCACACCACCUCAACAAUUUCAACAGGUUUUAGAGUAGUGAUAUAUUCCCUACAGACAAACAACACAUCUCCUACACGUAAAAAUCAGUUCUGUCACAGUUCCUACAGAGUUCCUGUCACAUUUCCUACACUGUGUUAAAACGUUCAUUAGCUGUUCCUUAAAUCCCAGCAUGUUGAG